RNAcentral lists this transfer RNA (73 nucleotides) under Prorhinotermes inopinatus. RNAcentral describes it as "tRNA-Trp". The record is from RNAcentral. Lineage: Eukaryota; Metazoa; Arthropoda; Insecta; Blattodea; Rhinotermitidae.
AAGGCCUUAAGUUAAAUACAAACUAAUAACCUUCAAAGCUAUAAAUAAAGGGGACCUCAGCCUUUAGGCCUUG